GCGAGCGUUGCAUAGUGGUUUGAGCACUGGACUACGACUCUUGAGACCAGAGUUCAAUUCCCAGCUCAAUCA
Non-coding RNA from Phrynosoma platyrhinos (Desert horned lizard), 72 nucleotides. Lineage: Eukaryota; Metazoa; Chordata; Lepidosauria; Squamata; Phrynosomatidae. The record is from the annotation of a GenBank genome assembly.